UUGGUUAAGUUAGAAAGGGCGCACGGUGGAUGCCUUGGCACUAGGAGCCGAAGAAGGACGGGACUAACACCGAUAUGCUUUGGGGAGCUGUACGUAAGCGUUGAUCCAGAGAUUUCCGAAUGGGGGAACCCACUAUCUUUAGUCGGAUAGUAUCCUUACGUGAAUACAUAGCGUGAGGAAGGCAGACCCAGGGAACUGAAACAUCUAAGUACCUGGAGGAAGAGAAAGAAAAAUCGAUUUCCUGAGUAGCGGCGAGCGAAACGGAAAGAGCCCAAACCAAGAAGCUUGCUUCUUGGGGUUGUAGGACACUCUAUACGGAGUUACAAAAGAAAGUUAUAAAUGAAGCGGUCUGGAAAGGCCCGCCAAAGACGGUAACAGCCCGGUAGUUGAAAUGGCUUUCCCUCCAGAGUGGAUCCUGAGUACGGCGGAACACGUGAAAUUCCGUCGGAAUCCGGGAGGACCAUCUCCCAAGGCUAAAUACUCCCUAGUGACCGAUAGUGAACCAGUACCGUGAGGGAAAGGUGAAAAGCACCCCGGAAGGGGAGUGAAACAGUUCCUGAAACCGUGUGCCUACAAGUAGUUAGAGCCCGUUAAUGGGUGAUAGCGUGCCUUUUGUAGAAUGAACCGGCGAGUUACGAUUUGUUGCAAGGUUAAGCGGAAAAAGCGGAGCCGUAGCGAAAGCGAGUCUGAAUAGGGCGCAUAAGUAACAGGUCGUAGACCCGAAACCAGGUGAUCUACCCAUGUCCAGGAUGAAGGUAAGGUAAUACUUACUGGAGGUCCGAACCCACGCACGUUGAAAAGUGCGGGGAUGAGGUGUGGGUAGCGGAGAAAUUCCAAUCGAACUUGGAGAUAGCUGGUUCUCUCCGAAAUAGCUUUAGGGCUAGCCUCGAGGUAAAGAGUCAUGGAGGUAGAGCACUGUUUGGACUAGGGGCCCUUCUCGGGUUACCGAAUUCAGAUAAACUCCGAAUGCCAUGUACUUAUACUCGGGAGUCAGACUGCGAGUGAUAAGAUCCGUAGUCGAAAGGGAAACAGCCCAGACCACCAGUUAAGGUCCCCAAAUAUAUGUUAAGUGGAAAAGGAUGUGGGGUUGCUUAGACAACCAGGAUGUUGGCUUAGAAGCAGCCACCAUUGAAAGAGUGCGUAAUAGCUCACUGGUCGAGUGACCCCGCGCCGAAAAUGUACCGGGGCUAAACAUAUUACCGAAACUGUGGAUGAACCUCUUUAGAGGUUCGUGGUAGGAGAGCGUUCUAAGGGCGGUGAAGUCAGACCGGAAGGACUGGUGGAGCGCUUAGAAGUGAGAAUGCCGGUAUGAGUAGCGAAAGAAGGGUGAGAAUCCCUUCCACCGAAUAUCUAAGGUUUCCUGAGGAAGGCUCGUCCGCUCAGGGUUAGUCGGGACCUAAGCCGAGGCCGAUAGGCGUAGGCGAUGGACAACAGGUAGAGAUUCCUGUACCAGUGCUAAUUGUUUAACCGAUGGGGUGACACAGAAGGAUAGGGAAUCGCACGAAUGGAAAUGUGCGUCCAAGCAGUGAGUGUGAGAAGUAGGCAAAUCCGCUUCUCGCGAAGCAUGAGCUGUGAUGGGGAAGGAAAUUAAGUACGGAAGUUCCUGAUUUCACGCUGUCAAGAAAAGCCUCUAGGAAGAGUAGUACUGCCCGUACCGCAAACCGACACAGGUAGAUGAGGAGAGAAUCCUAAGGUGAGCGAGAGAACUCUCGUUAAGGAACUCGGCAAAAUGACCCCGUAA
Molecule: ribosomal RNA, 1741 nt
Filed under: Listeria monocytogenes
Lineage: Bacteria; Bacillati; Bacillota; Bacilli; Caryophanales; Listeriaceae
Description: partial 23S ribosomal RNA
Rfam family: Bacterial large subunit ribosomal RNA
Source: RNAcentral